RNAcentral lists this ribosomal RNA (253 nucleotides) under uncultured bacterium. RNAcentral describes it as "partial 16S ribosomal RNA". It matches the Rfam family "Bacterial small subunit ribosomal RNA", at positions 524 to 776 of the family's 1533-position model. The record is from RNAcentral.
UACGUAGGGGGCAAGCGUUGUCCGGAAUCAUUGGGCGUAAAGCGCGUGUAGGCGGCUUAGUAAGUCUGCUCUGAAAGCCCGGGGCUCAACCCUGGGAGGCGGGUGGAUACUGCUGAGCUUGAGUCCGGAAGAGGCGAGUGGAAUUCCUGGUGUAGCGGUGAAAUGCGCAGAUAUCAGGAGGAACACCGGUGGCGAAGGCGGGUCUCUGGGCCGAUACUGACGCUGAGGAGCGAAAGCGUGGGGAGCGAACAGG